UGCUCUAUACACUUAUUAAUUCUCAUGAAUCUAUAAGAAAAGCUCCGGCGGUAAAAGAUGGGCAUGCGUCCUAUUAGCUUGUAGGUGAGGUAAUGGCUCACCUUAGCUUUGAUAGGUAGGGGUCCUGAGAGGGAGAUCCCCCACACUGGUACUGAGACACGGACCAGACUUCUACGUAAGGCAGCAGUAAGGAAUAUUGGACAAUGGAGGCAACUCUGAUCCAGCCAUGCCGCGUGAAGGAAGACGGCCUUAUGGGUUGUAA
RNAcentral lists this ribosomal RNA (262 nucleotides) under uncultured Bacteroidota bacterium. Its description in RNAcentral is "uncultured Bacteroidetes bacterium partial 16S ribosomal RNA". It matches the Rfam family "Bacterial small subunit ribosomal RNA", at positions 167 to 428 of the family's 1533-position model. Lineage: Bacteria; Pseudomonadati; Bacteroidota. The record is from RNAcentral.